GCGCCCGUAGCUCAGAGGAUAGAGCAGCGGUCUUCUAAACCGCUGGUCGGUGGUUCGAUUCCACCCGGGCGCGCCA
Molecule: transfer RNA, 76 nt
Filed under: Candidatus Coatesbacteria bacterium RBG_13_66_14
Lineage: Bacteria; Candidatus Coatesiibacteriota
Also listed under: 3 other names
Description: tRNA-Arg
Rfam family: tRNA
About the family: Transfer RNA (tRNA) molecules are approximately 80 nucleotides in length. Their secondary structure includes four short double-helical elements and three loops (D, anti-codon, and T loops). Further hydrogen bonds mediate the characteristic L-shaped molecular structure. tRNAs have two regions of fundamental functional importance: the anti-codon, which is responsible for specific mRNA codon recognition, and the 3' end, to which the tRNAs corresponding amino acid is attached (by aminoacyl-tRNA synthetases). tRNAs cope with the degeneracy of the genetic code in two manners: having more than one tRNA (with a specific anti-codon) for a particular amino acid; and 'wobble' base-pairing, i.e. permitting non-standard base-pairing at the 3rd anti-codon position.
Source: RNAcentral